RNAcentral lists this ribosomal RNA (345 nucleotides) under uncultured bacterium. RNAcentral's name for it is "bacterial SSU rRNA". It matches the Rfam family "Bacterial small subunit ribosomal RNA", at positions 28 to 356 of the family's 1533-position model. The record is from RNAcentral.
GACGAACGCUGGCGGCGUGCCUAAUACAUGCAAGUUGAAUGCAACAAAGACACCAGAGCUUGCUCUACCGUUUUGUUGAGUAGCGAACGGGUGAGUAACGCGUGGGUAACCUGCCUUAUAGCGGGGGAUAACUGUUGGAAACGAUAGCUAAUACCGCAUAACAAUAGAGAUUGCAUAAAUCUUUAUUUGAAAGUGCCAACUGGUACACUAUGAGAUGGACCCGCGUUGUAUUAGCUAGUUGGUAGUGUAAUGGACUACCAAGGCGAUGAUACAUAGCCGACCUGAGAGGGUGAUCGGCCACAUUGGGACUGAGACACGGCCCAAAUCCUACGGGAGGCAGCAGUA